Molecule: non-coding RNA, 1751 nt
Organism: Macaca mulatta (Rhesus monkey)
Lineage: Eukaryota; Metazoa; Chordata; Mammalia; Primates; Cercopithecidae
Source: RefSeq, a predicted model, not a curated record
ACGCGAACUGCGGGUGGGAGGAGAGAGAGGGGUGUAGCUGAGACGGAAUCGGGGCGCGGGGCAGCCGGACCCAGCCAGCGCUCUGCUGGCGCCACCCACCCAGAGGCGGCACGGCUGGAAGCCCGGUGAAGCCGGGACCCGCGAGGGCCCCGUCGCUCCUCACCUUCAGGGUCCGCAGUGCCGCGCUCAACAUCAGCUGCUGCGGCGGCCACCGCCCAUGCCGUCCGGCAGCGACCAGCGCUGCUGUCCCGACCCACAGCCCCGCCAUUGUUGUCCCCGCAGACCGCCUCUCCGUUGACCUCUCACCCAGCCGGAGAGGGGCGGAGAAGGGGAGCGCCCGGGCUUCGACAAAUCACGAGCCAGAAAUCCGAUGCCCCACCCCCUAACUUGCGGGAAGGGGAGCGUGUGAGUGGUCGGCCAGAUCCGCCGGAUCCGGCAGCCUGGAGACGCGCUAGGACCCGGAAGGCUAGUGGGCUGGCGGCGCGUCAGGUCCCUAGCUGAGCUGGGGGCCACUGGCCAGAGCCGACCCCAGGAGUGAGAGAGGCAGGGACACGCGUGAGUUCCGGCGACCUGCAGCGGGCAAACCCCGUACCUUCCCAGCAUCCGCUCAGCAACCCACGUGCAUCCAGGCCGGUUAAUGUCAGUGAGUCACCUCCGCGCCUUGGCCACCCUGGGGUCCCGAGAAUCCGAAGUUCCAGACAAAUGCCCAAACUACAUUCCUGCCUGUUUGAAAGCGUAAAUUGCAAAGCACAAAUCCAGGAAUAUUUAAAAGCAAAUCUAAGACAUCAGACCAUCUCACCUAUAAAGACAUCAGUAUUAGGGGUUCCGCUCUUAACUACUUUGCAUCUCCUGCAGAGUCGCCUUGAGAGAGUUACAAAGCUAGGAAUGACCUAGAGUACACUACAGCAUGGUAAAUGCCAAAAGAGAGAUAAAUAAAAUGGGGAUAUCAGAAAGGUGACAUUUAGUGGAAUUUUAAAAUGUAAGUAUGGACUUUUGUGACAAAAUGAAAAGGAUUAUCAAUUUCACAGGACUUCUCUCUUAUGUACCUCAGUCUUCAUUCAUUUUCUACCUGGGAAACCUGCUUUUCUUUUUUUUUUUGUUUUUUGUCUUUUCCCCAUGUUUUACCCUUUGGGUUAGUUUUCCUUAGGCCCUAUUUGUUUUUCUUAUAGGAGUUCUUUUUAUGAAAGGCACUUGUAGCAGAAACUGCUUCUCAUACUAUCCAUUCUCCAUGCAUUACUUUAAUAAGAGUGCUCCUGUGAUCUAGCUGGGUACGUGGCCACCCAGCGAAAGGCUGCAAUAGCCAGCCUCCCUUACAACAAGGUGUAGCGCCAUGACUAAGGUCUGGAAUGUAUGGGUUGUUCCCUCCAUGCCCUCUUCUUUCUUACCUAAAUAAAGAUCUACAUUUCCCAACCCCCACUGCAGCAAGGGUGCUUACCAAGAUUUGGUUACUAAGUUUUGGCCAAUGGGCCAUAAACACAAGUGACAUAGACAACUUUUGCGUUAUGCCUUUAAAGGGAAAGGCAUGCCUUCCACUUGCCCUUCUCCUCUUUCCAGUUUGCCAGAAUGUGGACACAACAGUGGAGGUAAAGUUGUCAUCUCAGAUGAUAAGAAGGAAGUUAGGUGAUCCAGGAGGCAAAACAAUAUACCAGGAGCCUUGAGGUGCCUGAUUCUGUGGAGCUGCCAUGUCAACCCUGGAACGCUUUGUUCCAAUUGUUAUGCAAGCAAGUAAAAUACUGUAUCUUGUUAAGUUA